UUCAAAAGUUCUUGCCAACCAAUUACUAAGACACCAACAACACAAAUAAUAAAUACAUCUCAAAUGAAUAGGAUGGACAGAGAAUAAUCUUCCUAAUUUUACAACAUUGAAUAAAACACUGUAUACUUUCUAUAAACACUCAUGGCAGCCAAAAUGAAAAAGCAAUGACAAAAACAACACAGCAAACUGUAUCAUCACACUAUAAAUCAAAAUACGAGAUUUUUCUUCUUUUGUUUUCCCUUCCAAAUUAUUAAACUUUAACCUCACCUUUAGGUUCAGAAGAAGGCACUUUAACCUCGCCUUUAGGUUCAGAAGAAGGCGUUUUCGAGUUGGUAGAUUUUCCAAUGAUAGCUUUCUUUGCCUUCACAAGUGUGUGCUUCACCUUGGACAAAAUGGUAUUUGAUU
This 405-nucleotide long non-coding RNA is filed under the name Panax ginseng (ginseng). RNAcentral describes it as "long non-coding RNA (PGIN_LNC013395)". Lineage: Eukaryota; Viridiplantae; Streptophyta; Magnoliopsida; Apiales; Araliaceae. The record is from RNAcentral.